Nippostrongylus brasiliensis is the source of this 74-nucleotide non-coding RNA. Lineage: Eukaryota; Metazoa; Nematoda; Chromadorea; Rhabditida; Heligmosomidae. The record is from Rfam.
GUCUCAGUAGUGUAAUGCUUAACACAUGAGCCCAGGACAGGCGCGAAUCGUGGGUUCGAAUCCCGCCUGUGCCG